This 649-nucleotide ribosomal RNA is filed under the name uncultured archaeon. RNAcentral describes it as "bacterial SSU rRNA". It matches the Rfam family "Archaeal small subunit ribosomal RNA", at positions 1 to 641 of the family's 1478-position model. The record is from RNAcentral.
UUCGCCCUUUUCCGGUUGAUCCUGCCGGAGGUUACUGCUAUCGGUGUUCGCCUAAGCCAUGCGAGUCAUAUGUUCUUCGUGAACAUGGCGUACUGCUCAGUAACACGUGGAUAACCUGCCCUUGGGUCCGGCAUAACCCCGGGAAACUGGGGAUAAUUCCGGAUACCGCAUAUAUGCUGGAAUGCUUUAUGCGUCAAAUGGAUUCGUCUGCCCAAGGAUGGGUCUGCGGCCUAUCAGGUAGUAGUGGGUGUAAUGUACCUACUAGCCAACAACGGGUACGGGUUGUGAGAGCAAGAGCCCGGAGAUGGAUUCUGAGACAUAAAUCCAGGCCCUACGGGGCGCAGCAGGCGCGAAAACUUUACAAUGCGGGAAACCGUGAUAAGGGGACACCGAGUGCUAGCAUCAUAUGCUGGCUGUCCAGGUGUGUAAACUACACCUGUUAGCAAGGGCCGGGCAAGACCGGUGCCAGCCGCCGCGGUAACACCGGCGGCCCGAGUGGUGAUCGUGAUUAUUGGGUCUAAAGGGUCCGUAGCCGGUUUGGUCAGUCCUCCGGGAAAUCUGAUAGCUUAACUAUUAGGCUUUCGGGGGAUACUGCCAGGCUUGGAACCGGGAGAGGUAAGAGGUACUACAGGGGUAGGAGUGAAAUCUU